RNAcentral lists this ribosomal RNA (70 nucleotides) under Ligilactobacillus salivarius. Its description in RNAcentral is "partial 16S ribosomal RNA". It matches the Rfam family "Bacterial small subunit ribosomal RNA", at positions 1 to 68 of the family's 1533-position model. The record is from RNAcentral. Lineage: Bacteria; Bacillati; Bacillota; Bacilli; Lactobacillales; Lactobacillaceae.
UUUAAAUUGAGAGUUUGAUCCUGGCUCAGGACGAACGCUGGCGGCGUGCCUAAUACAUGCAAGUCGAACG